GAUGAACGCUAGCUACAGGCUUAACACAUGCAAGUCGAGGGGCAGCAUGGAAGAAGCUUGCUUCUUCUGAUGGCGACCGGCGCACGGGUGCGUAACGCGUAUCAAACCUGCCUCAUACUCGGGGAUAGCCUUGCGAAAGUAAGAUUAAUACCCGAUGUUGUUAUGUUGCCGCAUGGUGAUAUAACCAAAGAUUUAUCGGUAUGAGAUGGUGAUGCGUCCGAUUAGGUAGUAGGCGGGGUAACGGCCCACCUAGCCUUCGAUCGGUAGGGGUUCUGAGAGGAAGGUCCCCCACACUGGAACUGAGACACGGUCCAGACUCCUACGGGAGGCAGCAGUGAGGAAUAUUGGUCGAUGGACGCAAGUCUGAACCAGCCAAGUAGCGUGCAGGAUGACGGCCCUCCGGGUUGUAAACUGCUUUUAGUUGGGAAUAAAAAAGAGGACGUGUCCUCUAUUGUAUGUACCUUCAGAAAAAGGACCGGCUAAUUCCGUGCCAGCAGCCGCGGUAAUACGGAAGGUCCAGGCGUUAUCCGGAUUUAUUGGGUUUAAAGGGAGCGUAGGCGGAUUAUUAAGUCAGUGGUGAAAGACGGUGGCUCAACCAUCGUUAGCCAUUGAAACUGGUAGUCUUGAGUGCAGACAGGGAUGCUGGAACUCGUGGUGUAGCGGUGAAAUGCUUAGAUAUCACGAUGAACUCCGAUCGCGAAGGCGGGUGUCCGGUCUGCAACUGACGCUGAGGCUCGAAAGUGUGGGUAUCAAACAGG
Molecule: ribosomal RNA, 758 nt
Filed under: uncultured Prevotella sp.
Lineage: Bacteria; Pseudomonadati; Bacteroidota; Bacteroidia; Bacteroidales; Prevotellaceae
Description: bacterial SSU rRNA
Rfam family: Bacterial small subunit ribosomal RNA
Source: RNAcentral